Molecule: ribosomal RNA, 253 nt
Filed under: uncultured bacterium
Lineage: Bacteria
Description: partial 16S ribosomal RNA
Rfam family: Bacterial small subunit ribosomal RNA
Source: RNAcentral
UACGUAGGGGGCAAGCGUUGUCCGGAAUCAUUGGGCGUAAAGCGCGCGUAGGCGGCCCGGUAAGUCCGUUGUGAAAGUCAAAGGCUCAACCUUUGAACGCCGAUGGAUACUGCCGGGCUAGGGUCCGGAAGAGGCGAGUGGAAUUCCUGGUGUAGCGGUGGAAUGCGCAGAUAUCAGGAGGAACACCAAUAGCGAAGGCAGCUCGCUGGGACGGUACUGACGCUGAGGCGCGAAAGCGUGGGGAGCGAACAGG